UACGUAGGGCGCAAGCGUUGUCCGGAAUUAUUGGGCGUAAAGAGCUCGUAGGCGGCUUGUCACGUCGGGUAAUGGAAAGCCCGGGGCCUUGAACCCCGGGUCUGCAUUCGAUACGGGCAGGCUAGAGUGUGGUAGGGGAGAUCGGAAUUCCUGGUGUAGCGGUGAAAUGCGCAGAUAUCAGGAGGAACACCGGUGGCGAAGGCGGAUCUCUGGGCCAUUACUGACGCUGAGACGCGAAAGCUAGGGUAGCAAACGGG
This 257-nucleotide ribosomal RNA is filed under the name uncultured bacterium. RNAcentral describes it as "partial 16S ribosomal RNA". It matches the Rfam family "Bacterial small subunit ribosomal RNA", at positions 524 to 776 of the family's 1533-position model. The record is from RNAcentral.